RNAcentral lists this ribosomal RNA (1481 nucleotides) under uncultured marine bacterium. Its description in RNAcentral is "bacterial SSU rRNA". It matches the Rfam family "Bacterial small subunit ribosomal RNA". The record is from RNAcentral.
GAGUUUGAUCCUGUCUCAGGAUGAACGCUAGCGGCAGGCUUAGCACAUGCAAGUCGAGGGGUAACGGGGAAGCUUGCUUCCGCCGACGACCGGCGCACGGGUGCGUAACGCGUAUACAAUCUACCUUAUACUGGGGUAUAGCCUUUAGAAAUGAAGAUUAACCCCCCAUAGUCUCUUAGAGUGGCAUCACUUCUAGAGUAAAGGUUACGGUAUAAGAUGAGUAUGCGUUCUAUUAGUUUGUUGGUGUGGUAACGGCACACCAAGACUACGAUAGAUAGGGGCCCUGAGAGGGGGAUCCCCCACACUGGUACUGAGACACGGACCAGACUCCUACGGGAGGCAGCAGUGAGGAAUAUUGGACAAUGGAGGCAACUCUGAUCCAGCCAUGCCGCGUGCAGGAAGACUGCCCUAUGGGUUGUAAACUGCUUUUAUACAGGAAGAAACACCUCUACGUGUAGAGGCUUGACGGUACUGUAAGAAUAAGGAUCGGCUAACUCCGUGCCAGCAGCCGCGGUAAUACGGAGGAUCCAAGCGUUAUCCGGAAUCAUUGGGUUUAAAGGGUCCGUAGGUGGAUAAUUAAGUCAGAGGUGAAAUCUUGCAGCUCAACUGUAAAAUUGCCUUUGAAACUGGUUAUCUUGAGUUAUUAUGAAGUAGUUAGAAUAUGUAGUGUAGCGGUGAAAUGCAUAGAUAUUACAUAGAAUACCGAUUGCGAAGGCAGAUCACUAACAAUAUAUUGACGCUGAUGGACGAAAGCGUAGGUAGCGAACAGGAUUAGAUACCCUGGUAGUCUACGCCGUAAACGAUGGAUACUAGUUGUUUGGUUUUCGGACUGAGUGACUAAGCGAAAGUGAUAAGUAUCCCACCUGGGGAGUACGUUCGCAAGAAUGAAACUCAAAGGAAUUGACGGGGGCCCGCACAAGCGGUGGAGCAUGUGGUUUAAUUCGAUAAUACGCGAGGAACCUUACCAGGGCUUAAAUGUAGAUUGACCGGCUUAGAAAUAGGCUUUCUCUUCGGAGCAAAUUACAAGGUGCUGCAUGGUUGUCGUCAGCUCGUGCCGUGAGGUGUUAGGUUAAGUCCUGCAACGAGCGCAACCCCUAUUCUUAGUUGCCAGCGGUUCGGCCGGGGACUCUAAGAAGAAUGCCAGCGCAAGCUGAGAGGAAGGUGGGGAUGACGUCAAAUCAUCACGGCCCUUACGUCCUGGGCUACACACGUGCUACAAUGGUAGAGACAGAGGGCAGCCACCUGGUGACAGGGAGCGAAUCCUUAAACUCUAUCUCAGUUCGGAUCGAAGUCUGCAACUCGACUUCGUGAAGCUGGAAUCGCUAGUAAUCGCGCAUCAGCCAUGGCGCGGUGAAUACGUUCCCGGGCCUUGUACACACCGCCCGUCAAGCCAUGGAAGCUGGGGGCACCUGAAGUCGGUAACCGUAAGGAGCCGCCUAGGGUGAAACUGGUAACUAGGGCUAAGUCGUAACAAGGUAACC